GCUGCUCAACGAGACGGACGCGUACAUGAGCGUCAUCCACCUGUCGCGGCUGGUGCAGCAGGGCCUCUGGGACGACGCCGUCGCCUACGUCUCCCGCUUCCUGCGCCCGGCCUCGCACCCGCAGAGCGACGAGGCCCAGGUGCUCCUCCACUUCCUCAUGCAACAUGCGGCCUUCGCCAGCAUGGUCGCCGGCAAGCCCGACCGCAACCUCAGCUACUUCAACAGCAGGUUCAACACAAGGUACCUCAAGCACGACGACUCCGUCUCCCCCGACACCAUCCGGAUCCGCUCCAUCGUCCUCUCCAUUCUCCAUUCGGAGCAAGCCAG
RNAcentral lists this long non-coding RNA (327 nucleotides) under Hordeum vulgare. RNAcentral describes it as "long non-coding RNA (HVUL_LNC011149)". Lineage: Eukaryota; Viridiplantae; Streptophyta; Magnoliopsida; Poales; Poaceae. The record is from RNAcentral.